RNAcentral lists this unclassified non-coding RNA (2920 nucleotides) under Hevea brasiliensis (rubber tree). The record is from RNAcentral. Lineage: Eukaryota; Viridiplantae; Streptophyta; Magnoliopsida; Malpighiales; Euphorbiaceae.
AAGUUUAGUUGAAUUGAGUUGAGUACAGUAGUGAUAGGAGAGGAAUGAGAGAAUUUAGAGAAAAAGCAAAAGAAGAUUCAAGAAGUUUAUAGGUGGAGGAAGCAGAGGAGAAUUCAUUUUUGUUACAGGGAGUUAUAGGAAUAUUGCCACAUGGAGAUGCUAACAGAAUGGCAGCAGGUGAGAAAUGCUUAAAUAGAGUAACCAAAGCCUAAAGGUGGGGAGAAGAACUUUCCUAAGAUUUUGGCAUCUUUGCUUGGGCAAGAAUUGUUCUCUUGCUGGGGAGAAUUAUCUCUUGGGUCAUCUUUUUCUUUUUCAUGUUUAAGUUUGCCCUCUGAAGUGUAGUAGAGAUUAAUGUAAUUGCAGAAGAGCUGCUGUAGUUGAAUCUGCAUUAUCAAUACAACAUAUUUUCCUUAUUCAAGGACUCUGCUUCUUACAUUCUUGCUGUAAUAUAGUUCCUAACUUAUCAAGGAUCUUACAAGUUACUUACAACCAAGGCUGAGGGUUUUUCUGUGCAAAUAUUAUACUUCCCGUGGCAUAUAACAUCCUUACAGGAUAUAGGCAUAGAGGUUGCAAAAAAACCCUAUGCAAUAUAAAAAGGUAUUGGUAUAGGCAAUGAAUAUUUGGCUAUAAAAAAUAGGUAACCAAAAAGAAGGGCUGCCCUGGGUUACAAGUGUGGGAGUUUUGUCCAUAAAGAACUUGACAAUCAACAGUUACAGGUCAGCUGAGCUUUCCAGAUUUCAAAUCUAUUAGAACUCACCUGAACCAAAAAUUAUGCACGCAUGCAUAAAAUGAUGAUAUUUCAAGUGUUGAAUAACUUGACAAACAGUUGCCCUAAUUUCUUCCUCCUAUUCCCAGACAAACCCUCUGCAACUUUGGCCUCUACUUUCUCUCUCCCUCUCUCAUCUAAAGCCAUAGAAACAUACUUUAUGCCAUCUGAUCCAGCCAAUGAAUUCCAGAAAAUUCAAAGUCAAAUACUCAAAAGCUUAGGGUUAGGGUUCAGUUUUAAUUUACAGUUUAUUGGGGAAGUUAUAUAAUACGCUAUUUUAGAGUUUUAUCAUAUUAGCUCUAGCCUAUUAAAUUUAAGUCUCCAGCAAUUUUCCAGCUUUUUUGGAAAAUCUGUCCAUAAUCCAUAUGCUUUUAGGAAACUUUAUUUUUAUUUUAGAAUUUUUUUUUUUUUAGUGUCCUUGUUGAUUAAGGGUUACUUUUGGAGUCCAAUCCAUGACUACUUAUGUUUGUAAUGUCAUUUCACAGUUUUGAUCAAUACAAACUCCAGCAGUUAUGCUUCUAUUUGUGUGAUGCAAUUCAACCUUGUGUGUGAUGGCUAUAGAAAUUUGGGUGUGAAGCCUAAACUGUUCUGAUGUUCACUUUACAUAACUCAGCCCCGCAAACAGCCCCACAAAACCCUGCUUCUUGUUUAAUUUUACUUCCUAAACUUAUACCCUUUUAAAUCCUUGCCUUCCAACUAAAACUUCCUACCCAUUUUAGCUUUAACAUGACCUCAAAUUUCAACCUUAAUCUCAUAUCGAUAAGCUUUCCUGCAUCACCAACCUAUGUUCCCAUGUCAUAUCAGCCAUCAAUUAUUAGACUUUUGGCUGGCUUCAUUUCUAGGGUGAAAAAUGGAGGCCUUUUACCCCAUUUAGCACCCACAUAGAGACUGCAUUAUGUCGUACGUUAGCCCUACCCUGCAUUUUGGCAACACAACCACCCUGCAGUAUGACAAAAUCUCUACACACAAUUCCAAACAGGUCAUCAAACAUUGCAGUUUUUAAAUUUGAGAAGUUUUUACCAUUUAGUAAUGCAGCAACUGCAUUAACCGGAGCACAAUUUACAUGCAGCAUAAAUUCAUGAAGUUUACCUGCACCUUUGAGGAGUUUGAGUUUGAUUUCCUCUGAAAUCCACUAUCCAUUCCAAAUUCUGCAAAGAAGCUUGAUGACUUUGGUGGUGAUACAUGGCUAAUCACUUGCGGACCUCCAGAAAUGAGCUCAGUAGAUUGGACAUCAUCCACAUAUUCAAAGCGAGAUACAAACGAUGUGCCAGCUUUUGGAGUGGUGGUGUUACUAGAUGAAGGAACAGGAAGAGCUGGUUCUUCAGGUUUCUGAUCAUAGAGAUUUUCACUGGGCUUUGUGGUAAGCUUUCUAGCACCAAGGCCCCCCGUCUUCCCGGUUUUCUUUGCACCAACAGGCUUCUUGAUUAAACCGGUAAUAACUGAACGAGAAGUUUUUAGGGAAUGAGCAACAUCAGUUGUUUCUUGCUUUUCUAAUGACCUUUCUUUAGGAGUCUCAUCGACCUUGUUAUCAGGAAGUCCAUUGGACACUUGGGCUGACUGAGAAGCAACAGGCAAUGAUGGCAAGCCUGCAUCUUCUGCCAUACUUUUGGCAACUUCUUUUGAAAGUAUUUGCCUAUACAAAUCAGCAGCUCUAGAUGUAUACUUGGCCUCAAUUUUCCCCCCAUCAGUCCAUCCAUGUUGCUUGAAGAAAACCUGUGCACGAUUGUUUCCCCCAAAGCUCAUCAUCCUCAAUUGCUCAUGACUCCAAGAAUCUAAAUUUGUAGACCUGACGAAACUGAUGUGUACUCCAAGGCUGCGAUGAACAGCGGAGCAAUCGAUGCAAAGGAAGAUCCCAUAAGUCACAGAUGCCCAUGUAGGGUUUUUGGCAUUGCAAUCGAAGCACAUCUUGUUAUCGGAUUUGGCUUUGAGCUUUCUGAACACUGCAUUUUUGUCGGUGAAGUUUUCAGACGCCAUUGAUUUUGGUUGCUUUCUUAGUCACACAGAAAAGGGUUUCCGAAGAGGUGAGGUGAUUGGCUCUAGCACCUCCUCAGGGAGAACGAAACGCAGAGAGAGGCCGAGACCAAUAGAGAAAAGAGAGUAAAUGCAAAUUGGGAAAACAACGAAUGGGAUAUGGGAGUUUGGGGAUUAAUUUUA